Molecule: ribosomal RNA, 433 nt
Filed under: uncultured bacterium
Lineage: Bacteria
Description: partial 16S ribosomal RNA
Rfam family: Bacterial small subunit ribosomal RNA
Source: RNAcentral
AGCGAACGCUGGCGGCAGGCUUAACACAUGCAAGUCGAGCGGGCACUUCGGUGUCAGCGGCAGACGGGUGGGUAACACGUGGGAACGUACCCUUUGGUUCGGAAUAACGCUGGGAAACUAGCGCUAAUACCGGAUACGCCCUUUUGGGGAAAGGCUUGCUGCCGAAGGAUCGGCCCGCGUCUGGUUAGCUAGUUGGUGGGGUAAUGGCCGAGCAAGGCGACGAUCAGUAGCUGGUCUGAGAGGAGGAUCAGCCACACUGGGACUGAGACACGGCCCAGACUCCUACGGGAGGCUGCAGUGGGGAAUGUUGGACAGUGGGCGCAAGCCUGAUCCAGCCAUGCCGCGUGAGUGAUGCAGGCCUUAGGGUUGUAAAGCUCUUUUGUCCGGGACGAUAAUGACGGUACCGGAAGAAUAAGCCCCGGCUAACUUCGUG